Molecule: long non-coding RNA, 651 nt
Organism: Gasterosteus aculeatus aculeatus (three-spined stickleback)
Lineage: Eukaryota; Metazoa; Chordata; Actinopteri; Perciformes; Gasterosteidae
Source: Ensembl
UGGUUUCGGUGAUAGACUCUUCCGCCUUAACGUAACGUUAGACGAUUAUCCUGAUGAUUGACAUCUGGUUCAAACUAACGAGACGUUUUGAGCACCGAUCCGCCUUUGAGUACCCGAGAGCCUGAUGUCAAUCAUUUGUUUCCCUCUUAAAUUUUCAGGUGGCUGCCACAUACACUGAUGUUGAGAGGAGCUUCACUCUACCAGCCACUCCACGGCUUAAUGUCCUUGUCCACGACAAACAGGCAGUGGAUGAUCGGCAUUGAGGGACGCCUGGUCUGUGAGAACCUUCAGCCAACUUUUGGGUCAGGACUUGUUUGCCGUGUUCUACAUCUUCAACAUCCAGUAUCAAGGGCUCAGUGUUGGGCAUGACAGUCACUCGUUUUGGUCUCGAGUCACGCACUCCCGCCACACAUCCAAUUCCUCAUACCACGCUGGUCACUCCCCCCUCCGUAGCGUCCGCGCCAACCCUCCCUGUCGACCGUCAUGUCUUACUGGAACUUACAAGAGUAUCCACUGAGUAGUCACUGGAUCAAGUACGACGGCCGGUUGCUGUGGUCAACUAAAAGUGGUCUUGUUCCAGAUUAGUUCAGCUGGUUCCUAAUGAUUUCAUGGGUAAUGUUUUUAUUAUUGUACACAUGUAUUUAUAUAUAU